GUGGUGGCUCAGUGGUAGAGUGCUUGCCUAACAAAUGUGAGGCACUGCGUUCAAUUCUCAGCACCACA
Molecule: transfer RNA, 68 nt
Filed under: Marmota monax (woodchuck)
Lineage: Eukaryota; Metazoa; Chordata; Mammalia; Rodentia; Sciuridae
Description: tRNA.Val
Source: RNAcentral